UCCAGAGUUUGAUCAUGGCUCAGAUUGAACGCUGGCGGCAGGCCUAACACAUGCAAGUCGAGCGGUAGCACAGAGAGCUUGCUCUCGGGUGACGAGCGGCGGACGGGUGAGUAAUGUCUGGGAAACUGCCUGAUGGAGGGGGAUAACUACUGGAAACGGUAGCUAAUACCGCAUAACGUCGCAAGACCAAAGUGGGGGACCUUCGGGCCUCAUGCCAUCAGAUGUGCCCAGAUGGGAUUAGCUAGUAGGUGGGGUAACGGCUCACCUAGGCGACGAUCCCUAGCUGGUCUGAGAGGAUGACCAGCCACACUGGAACUGAGACACGGUCCAGACUCCUACGGGAGGCAGCAGUGGGGAAUAUUGCACAAUGGGCGCAAGCCUGAUGCAGCCAUGCCGCGUGUGUGAAGAAGGCCUUCGGGUUGUAAAGCACUUUCAGCGGGGAGGAAGGCGUUGAGGUUAAUAACCUUGUCGAUUGACGUUACCCGCAGAAGAAGCACCGGCUAACUCCGUGCCAGCAGCCGCGGUAAUACGGAGGGUGCAAGCGUUAAUCGGAAUUACUGGGCGUAAAGCGCACGCAGGCGGUCUGUCAAGUCGGAUGUGAAAUCCCCGGGCUCAACCUGGGAACUGCAUUCGAAACUGGCAGGCUAGAGUCUUGUAGAGGGGGGUAGAAUUCCAGGUGUAGCGGUGAAAUGCGUAGAGAUCUGGAGGAAUACCGGUGGCGAAGGCGGCCCCCUGGACAAAGACUGACGCUCAGGUGCGAAAGCGUGGGGAGCAAACAGGAUUAGAUACCCUGGUAGUCCACGCCGUAAACGAUGUCGAUUUGGAGGUUGUGCCCUUGAGGCGUGGCUUCCGGAGCUAACGCGUUAAAUCGACCGCCUGGGGAGUACGGCCGCAAGGUUAAAACUCAAAUGAAUUGACGGGGGCCCGCACAAGCGGUGGAGCAUGUGGUUUAAUUCGAUGCAACGCGAAGAACCUUACCUGGUCUUGACAUCCACAGAACUUUCCAGAGAUGGAUUGGUGCCUUCGGGAACUGUGAGACAGGUGCUGCAUGGCUGUCGUCAGCUCGUGUUGUGAAAUGUUGGGUUAAGUCCCGCAACGAGCGCAACCCUUAUCCUUUGUUGCCAGCGGUUCGGCCGGGAACUCAAAGGAGACUGCCAGUGAUAAACUGGAGGAAGGUGGGGAUGACGUCAAGUCAUCAUGGCCCUUACGACCAGGGCUACACACGUGCUACAAUGGCAUAUACAAAGAGAAGCGACCUCGCGAGAGCAAGCGGACCUCAUAAAGUAUGUCGUAGUCCGGAUUGGAGUCUGCAACUCGACUCCAUGAAGUCGGAAUCGCUAGUAAUCGUAGAUCAGAAUGCUACGGUGAAUACGUUCCCGGGCCUUGUACACACCGCCCGUCACACCAUGGGAGUGGGUUGCAAAAGAAGUAGGUAGCUUAACCUUCGGGAGGGCGCUUACCACUUUGUGAUUCAUGACUGGGGUGAAGUCGUAACAAGGUAACCGUAGGGGAACCUGCGGCU
This 1522-nucleotide ribosomal RNA is filed under the name Klebsiella pneumoniae. RNAcentral's name for it is "bacterial SSU rRNA". It matches the Rfam family "Bacterial small subunit ribosomal RNA". Lineage: Bacteria; Pseudomonadati; Pseudomonadota; Gammaproteobacteria; Enterobacterales; Enterobacteriaceae. The record is from RNAcentral.